GCCGGUCGGGUUCGCCCAGAAGGAGGCGGAGGGGACGGAGGCCUCGGGCACCGGGCCGCGCGGCCUCUUCCCGCCAGGCGUCCCCAGCUGCCCUCGCUCCCGGGCCCCGCCAUCUCAUUUGCCGCCUUCCGACGCGUGACUCCGGCGCGCUCGCGUCCCGGGCCGGUGACAGGCGCGGGGUGCGCCCAGCGGCUCCAUGUGCCCCCUCCCUCUCGCGGCCGCCGCAGUCGCCGGGCCCCGAAGCCAGCUCCGGCUCCUCGGCAGAGGGCUCGCCGCCGCCAUGUCUACCGCCAGGCCCCUCAAAUCCGUGGACUACGAGGUGUUCGGGAGAGUGCAGGGUGUCUGCUUCAGAAUGUACGCAGAAGAUGAGGCUAGGAAAAUAGGAGUGGUUGGCUGGGUGAAGAAUACCAGCAAAGGCACUGUGACAGGCCAAGUGCAAGGCCCUGAAGAGAAAGUCAAUUCCAUACCUGAGCCACACCUAUCAAGGGCUGACUGCAAGAGCAGCACAUGAAGAGUGAGGUCUUAGGGCUUGCCAAGUGACAGGUGACCAGAGCAUCCUAGGAAGUCCUGGCUGAGCAAGGUUGGAAGUCCUAGCUCUCGCAUUGACCGCACGAACUUUUCUAAUGAAAAAACCAUUUCUAAACUUGAAUACUCUAAUUUUAGUGUUCGAUACUAAUAGAAGAGAAAUAAAAAUUGUACUGCUUAUAAUGCAUAAUAGACAUUAUAUACUAUUAACUCUAGAUACUAGAAUAAUAGUAGCAGAGUAGGGUGAAAAAAGGAAAUUUCUGUUCUGAAAGCUACAACAUUGUAUAUGUUACUAAAAAUGUCUUACACUGAAAUACUUUUGCUCAACUAUGUUUCUAACAAGCAAAAAUUUAGUAUCCUAAAAUAAAAAAUGUCAUUACAAAAUAUUUAAUACAAAUAUUUAAACUUGUCUCAUGGAAUCUUUAAUUGUAAUGAAUAUUAUAGCAUACAUGUUAUUUGGCUAGACAUAAAAUAAUAAAGUUAACCGUUUAAACAUUA
Equus caballus (horse) is the source of this 1023-nucleotide RNA transcript. It is a transcript of the gene named acylphosphatase 2, with no coding region annotated. The record is from RefSeq and is marked validated. NCBI's taxonomy places the organism in Eukaryota, Metazoa, Chordata, Mammalia, Perissodactyla, Equidae.